Molecule: transfer RNA, 72 nt
Filed under: Camelus bactrianus (Bactrian camel)
Lineage: Eukaryota; Metazoa; Chordata; Mammalia; Artiodactyla; Camelidae
Also listed under: 1 other name
Rfam family: tRNA
About the family: Transfer RNA (tRNA) molecules are approximately 80 nucleotides in length. Their secondary structure includes four short double-helical elements and three loops (D, anti-codon, and T loops).
Source: Rfam by way of RNAcentral
GAGGGUGUAGCUCAGUGGCAGAGUGUGUGCUUACCAUGCGCAAGGUCCUGGGUUCAAUCCCCAGGACCUCCA